RNAcentral lists this ribosomal RNA (497 nucleotides) under uncultured bacterium. Its description in RNAcentral is "partial 16S ribosomal RNA". It matches the Rfam family "Bacterial small subunit ribosomal RNA", at positions 28 to 507 of the family's 1533-position model. The record is from RNAcentral.
GAUGAACGCUGGCGGCGUGCCUAAUACAUGCAAGUCGAGCGAACGGACGAGAAGCUUGCUUCUCUGAUGUUAGCGGCGGACGGGUGAGUAACACGUGGAUAACCUACCUAUAAGACUGGGAUAACUUCGGGAAACCGGAGCUAAUACCGGAUGAUAUUUUGAACCGCAUGGUUCAAAAGUGAAAGACGGUCUUGCUGUCACUUAUAGAUGGAUCCGCGCUGCAUUAGCUAGUUGGUAAGGUAACGGCUUACCAAGGCAACGAUGCAUAGCCGACCUGAGAGGGUGAUCGGCCACACGGGAACUGAGACACGGCCCAGACUCCUACGGGAGGCAGCAGUAGGGAAUCUUCCGCAAUGGGCGAAAGCCGGACGGAGCAACGCCGCGUGAGUGAUGAAGGUCUUCGGAUCGUAAAACUCUGUUAUUAGGGAAGAACAUAUGUGUAAGUAACUGUGCACAUCUUGACGGUACCUAAUCAGAAAGCCACGGCUAACUACGUG